UACGUAGGGGGCUAGCGUUGUCCGGAAUCAUUGGGCGUAAAGAGCGUGUAGGCGGCCCGGUAAGUCCGCUGUGAAAGUCGGGGGCUCAACCCUCGAAUGCCGGUGGAUACUGUCGGGCUAGAGUGCGGAAGAGGCGAGUGGAAUUCCCGGUGUAGCGGUGAAAUGCGCAGAUAUCGGGAGGAACACCAAUGGCGAAGGCAGCUCGCUGGGACGUUACUGACGCUGAGACGCGAAAGCGUGGGGAGCAAACAGG
This 253-nucleotide ribosomal RNA is filed under the name uncultured bacterium. RNAcentral's name for it is "partial 16S ribosomal RNA". It matches the Rfam family "Bacterial small subunit ribosomal RNA", at positions 524 to 776 of the family's 1533-position model. The record is from RNAcentral.